GCCUGGGUGGCUUAGUCGGUUUGGCGUCUGACUUCGGCUCAGGUCAUGAUCUCGCGGUCCGUGAGUUCGAGCCCCACAUCGGGCU
RNAcentral lists this transfer RNA (85 nucleotides) under Felis catus (domestic cat). It matches the Rfam family "tRNA". From Rfam's summary of the family: Transfer RNA (tRNA) molecules are approximately 80 nucleotides in length. Their secondary structure includes four short double-helical elements and three loops (D, anti-codon, and T loops). Further hydrogen bonds mediate the characteristic L-shaped molecular structure. tRNAs have two regions of fundamental functional importance: the anti-codon, which is responsible for specific mRNA codon recognition, and the 3' end, to which the tRNAs corresponding amino acid is attached (by aminoacyl-tRNA synthetases). tRNAs cope with the degeneracy of the genetic code in two manners: having more than one tRNA (with a specific anti-codon) for a particular amino acid; and 'wobble' base-pairing, i.e. permitting non-standard base-pairing at the 3rd anti-codon position. Lineage: Eukaryota; Metazoa; Chordata; Mammalia; Carnivora; Felidae. The record is from Rfam by way of RNAcentral.